Molecule: ribosomal RNA, 473 nt
Filed under: uncultured bacterium
Lineage: Bacteria
Description: bacterial SSU rRNA
Rfam family: Bacterial small subunit ribosomal RNA
Source: RNAcentral
AGGGUUUGAUUAUGGCUCAGAACGAACGCUGGCGGCAGGCCUAACACAUGCAAGUCGAGCGCUACCUUCGGGGUGAGCGGCGGACGGGUGAGUAACGCGUGGGAAUAUGCCCUUCUCUAAGGAAUAGCCUCUGGAAACGGAGAGUAAUACCUUAUACGCCCUUUGGGGGAAAGAUUUAUCGGAGAAGGAUUAGCCCGCGUUAGAUUAGGUAGUUGGUGGGGUAAUGGCCUACCAAGCCUACGAUCUAUAGCUGGUUUGAGAGGAUGAUCAGCCACACUGGGACUGAGACACGGCCCAGACUCCUACGGGAGGCAGCAGUAGGGAAUCUUAGACAAUGGGGGCAACCCUGAUCUAGCCAUGCCGCGUGUGUGAUGAAGGCCCUAGGGUCGUAAAGCACUUUCGCCAGAGAUGAUAAUGACAGUAUCUGGUAAAGAAACCCCGGCUAACUCCGUGCCAGCCGCCGCGGUAAUACA